UACGAAGGGGGCUAGCGUUGCUCGGAAUCACUGGGCGUAAAGGGUGCGUAGGCGGGUCUUUAAGUCAGGGGUGAAAUCCUGGAGCUCAACUCCAGAACUGCCUUUGAUACUGAGGAUCUUGAGUUCGGGAGAGGUGAGUGGAACUGCGAGUGUAGAGGUGAAAUUCGUAGAUAUUCACAAGAACACCAGUGGCGAAGGCGGCUCACUGGCCCGAUACCUGACGCUGAGGCACGAAAGCGUGGGGAGCAAAGCAGGGAAGUUA
Molecule: ribosomal RNA, 262 nt
Filed under: uncultured bacterium
Lineage: Bacteria
Description: partial 16S ribosomal RNA
Rfam family: Bacterial small subunit ribosomal RNA
Source: RNAcentral